GUCUUUGUGUGAAGUGCUCCUUGAAUACUUUACGUUUGUCCUCGUUAGCAAGAAGUCACACCAAGUCCAAUAUGUUGAUCUCAUCAUAGGUUGAUUGCCUUCAUUGAUUCACAUUGGUGCCUUGUUUCUUAGUUCUGGAGGAUGAAGCCAUGAAAUUGAGUUUUUGAAAUAACUAGGUUUUGGAGGUUUGGAGAUUCGGUGGUUUUGAUUUUGACCACUAAACACGAAAAUUAU
RNAcentral lists this long non-coding RNA (234 nucleotides) under Lupinus angustifolius (narrow-leaved blue lupine). RNAcentral describes it as "long non-coding RNA (LANG_LNC003067)". Lineage: Eukaryota; Viridiplantae; Streptophyta; Magnoliopsida; Fabales; Fabaceae. The record is from RNAcentral.